This 421-nucleotide ribosomal RNA is filed under the name uncultured bacterium. RNAcentral's name for it is "bacterial SSU rRNA". It matches the Rfam family "Bacterial small subunit ribosomal RNA", at positions 355 to 774 of the family's 1533-position model. The record is from RNAcentral.
UAAGGAAUAUUGGUCAAUGGACGCAAGUCUGAACCAGCCAUGCCGCGUGAAGGAUGAAGGUCCUCUGGAUUGUAAACUUCUUUUAUCCGGGACGAAAACGGGAUUUUUAUCUCAAUUGACGGUACCAGAGGAAUAAGCACCGGCUAACUCCGUGCCAGCAGCCGCGGUAAUACGGAGGGUGCGGGCGUUAUCCGGAUUUACUGGGUUUAAAGGGUGCGUAGGUGGGCUUAUAAGUCAGUGGUGAAAUCUCCGAGCUUAACUUGGAAACUGCCGUUGAUACUAUAGGUCUUGAAUUAUCUGGAGGUAAGCGGAAUAUGUCAUGUAGCGGUGAAAUGCUUAGAUAUGACAUAGAACACCAAUUGCGAAGGCAGCUUACUACAUAUAAAUUGACGCUGAGGCACGAAAGCGUGGGGAUCAAACA